GGUGAUGGUGCUGGUGUUGUGUCUGAUUCUGCUGUGGAAUCAGGUGGUGCCGGGGGACUUUUGCGAACAAUUGUUGGUGCUGGAGCUGGUGCCUGAUGCCUCCUGUGCCUGUGCCUGUGCCUUCUAUGCUUAUGUGACGAUGGCGCCGGUGCUGGUACCUCUACUACCGGCGUUGGUGCCAAUGUUGGUGGUGGAGGAACAGGAGCUGGAGUUGGUGCUGGCUUUGUAGGUGCAGGAGCGGGUGCUGGUGUUGCCUUUGCUGGUGCAGGUGCAGGGGGUGUUUUGGCUGGUGUUGGAGCUAUCUUUGGUGGUGGCAAUGGCGGUGGCGUAGAAACGGGUGGUGGAGGUAUCGGGGGUGGCGAUGUGGGAGUUACAACUGGUGAUACUUUUGGUGGUUGUGGUUGUGGAGUUUGGGGUGGUGGGGCUUUUGGGCUUGAAGCAGGUGCAACUUUUGGAGCUGGUGGUGUCACAGGUGCGGGUUUGGGAGCUACAAUUGCAGGUGGCUGGGAUGUAGUUGGUGGUGUACUUGUGGUGGGAGGGGAUGCCACCACUGUUGGUGGUAGUGUUACCG
This 571-nucleotide long non-coding RNA is filed under the name Glycine max (soybean). Its description in RNAcentral is "long non-coding RNA (GMAX_LNC000106)". The record is from RNAcentral. Lineage: Eukaryota; Viridiplantae; Streptophyta; Magnoliopsida; Fabales; Fabaceae.